UUCAGUAUUACAGAAUUUGAACAUAAAUGCUCGGAAUCGCAUUUCGUUAACUCCUUCGCGUUUACAAUCUGCGCUAUAGCGAAAAUGAAAAUGCGCGCGCCUUAGUCAGUGUUUUGUUCAGAUCACUUGCGUCUGUUUGUAUCAUUGUUCCCAGUUCGCUGAUGCUGUGGUGUACUUUUUUCUUUCGAAGUGGCGAGUUUUCGAUGUUCCCUUAUAAUUUCGCACUCAAAAAGUUGAGAGUUAACAUUUGCUCCUUCUUAUUAUUAUACGUUCUUUGAAAUUACUAUGCUUUAGGUUCAUCUGAAAAAGCUCGCUGUAACUUUUUAACAGAGGCUUCGAUAGUGGGUCAAUUUGAUCACCCUAUCUUCAAGGGGUGGUUACUCGUUCCAACGCCGUUAUGGUUAUUACCGAGUAUAUGGAAAAUUGUAUCCUCUAUUCGUUUUUACGGGUAAAUGAUGGGAAAUUUCAAACUUGGUACUUAAUUGUCAUGUUACGUGGCAUAGCCAGUUGAAUGUCGUAUCUAAGUGACAAGAAUUACGUCCAUCGCGAUUUAGCAGCUCGAAAUGUGCUAGCCAAUGCUCAACUUAUAUGUAGAAUUGCGGGUUAUAGACUUCCGGCCCCUAUGGACUGCCCGGAAGCAUUGUAUCAAUUAAUGCUUGAUUGCUGGCAAAAGCAACGUACUCACCGGCCUAAGUUUUCAAGUAUAGUUUCAACUUUGGAUACUUUAGCCCGACAACCGCAGGACCUGCUAACAACAAGAAAUUCACCCGAAAACGAUGGAUAACAUAUCUUAGAAGGACAGCGUGCUCACAACAUAUUUAUAAGUACAGAAAUGUGGUUGGAAAACAUUAAAAUGUCCCGCUAUUCACAACAUUUCAAGGAAGCAAAUUUGGUGACUGGCCAACAGAUCUCCCGGUUAACGGCACAACAAUUAUCCGAUAUGGGUAUAACUUUAGUAGGACAUCAAAAAAAGAUUUUACAUCAAGCCAGACAGUUGGACAUUAUAAUUUAGAAAAAAAAAAUUAUUUGUAGACUCAUUCCGUGUAUAUAUAACAUUAUUAUUAUUAAAAAAUCGUUCAAAAUAAUAAGUAUUAUAUUUUCUGAAUAUGCGCGGAUAAGCAUAAGAAAUUCGUUAAAACAACUAUAUCUUUUUAUUUAUUUUUAAUAUCACUCGUAGAUAUCUAUAAUCUACUACAUCAACGUAAUUUUUAUAAAUAUUUAUACUCAAGGUUUGAUUUCUAGACAAUUAGCUCUUUACCCGAGAUAUUUUCUCAAUGCCUAUAAUACAUGGAAAUAUAAAAUUCUUGUAUGAUAUAUUUGAACACAUCUGUCUAACUCCACUAUUUAAACCUAAAAUUUGGGUUAUUAUAGAAAAUAUGUAAUAAGGUGUAAAUAAUGCAAUUGAGAUAUUGAUAUAAAGGAAUUACUUAAAUUGCAUGUAUCCCGUACGAACAUAUGACAAGUGACCAGUUUUCCACUAGUAUAUUAUUAGUCUGGGUUUCAAAUGAAGAGAAGGGGAAGAAAUUAAGUUUAAUUUUUCAAUACUUUACUGCUUUUGAAUUAUUCCCAAGAAGAGUUCAAGAUGAAUAUUAUCUAAAUAAAUUGUACAAAUAACUUUUACCAAAUUAACAUUCCUGCUGCCAGUUUAGCAUACCAAUUACAAACUUGCUAUUAUUUUGCAUAACAUUUUUUAAAUCAUGCA
Molecule: long non-coding RNA, 1702 nt
Organism: Zeugodacus cucurbitae (melon fly)
Lineage: Eukaryota; Metazoa; Arthropoda; Insecta; Diptera; Tephritidae
Exons: 2
Source: RefSeq, a predicted model, not a curated record